Molecule: unclassified non-coding RNA, 1519 nt
Filed under: Hevea brasiliensis (rubber tree)
Lineage: Eukaryota; Viridiplantae; Streptophyta; Magnoliopsida; Malpighiales; Euphorbiaceae
Source: RNAcentral
AAGGUAAACAUCAGUGUACUUAUCAUGUUUCCUCCUUUGUUUCUUAUGAUAACCUAUUUGUUUCUUAUGAUCACUUAUCUUCUUUUUCUAGCUUAUUUAUUGCGUCCUUAGAUUAUGCUUUGAUUCCUAAAAUUCUUAAUGAAGCUUUAUCUCAUCCUGGUUGGCGUAUUACUAUAGAAAAGAUGGUAGCGUUGGAUGGUAAUGGUGCUUGAAAUUUGGUAACUUUAUCUACAAGAAAGAAAGCUAUUGGAUGUAAAUGGUGUUCACAGUAAAGGUUAAUAUUGAUGGUUCUAUGGCUCAUCUUAAGGCCCUUCUUAUUGCUAAGGGCUAUGCUUAGACUUAUGGUGUAGGUUAUUCUGACACUCUCUCUAGUAGCAAAACUUGCCUCCGUUCGUCUAUUUGUCUCUAUUGCAAGCAACUAUAACUGACCCUUGUACCAGUUGGACACCAUGAAUGAUUUUCUGCAUGAAGAUCUACACGAGCAAGUCUAUAUGGAGCAAUCACUUGGAUUUGUUGCUCAAAGGAAAUAUUGAAAAGUUUGUUGGCUUCGCAAAUAUUUGUAUGGUUUGAAGCAAAGUCCUAGUGCUUGGUUCGGUAGAUUCAAUGAGGCAGAUUAAAAUUUUGUGUUGAAGAAGAAGAAGUAUGAUCACUUAGUAUUUUUUUAGACAGUCUGAGGCUAAUAUAAUUUUACUAGUUGUAUAUGUUGAUGACAUUAUUAUUACUAGGAGUGACAUUGCAUCUUUAAAAUCCUUUCUUUACAACUAGUUUCAGACAAAGGAGUUAGGGUUGUUGAAGUAUUUCUUCGUUUUUGAGGACGGAAGGUGUAAGAAGGGUAUUUUUUUGUCUCAAAGAAAGUAUAUUCUUGAAUUGUUAGCAGAGACUAAGAAAUUGGGUUCUAAACCGUGUAGUAUACUAAUGACUCCUAAUUUGCAACUUACAAAAGAAGACGAUGAAUUGUUUGAAGACCUUGAGAAGUAUAGAAGACUGAUGGGUGAAUUAAAUUAUCUUACAGUGACUUGUCCUGACCUUGCAUACUUUGUUAGUGUUAUAAGUCAGUUCAUGUUUUCUCCAAUAAUUAAUCAUUGGCUAGCCUUUGCACAAAUCUUAUGUUACUUAAGGGAAUCUAGGAUGGGGUUUGUUAUAUUCAAAUCAUGGCCAUUUUAUAUUGAAUGUUUUUCAUAUGAGGAUUGGGCAGGAUCCAAAGUUGAUAGAAUAUCAAUUGCAAGUUAUUGUAUCUUUAUUGGGGGAAAUUUGGUGUCAUGGAGAAGUAAAAAGCAAGAUGUGAUAUUUUGAUUCAUUGCAGAAUUAGAGUAUAGAGCUAUGACACAAUCUGUGUCUAAGAUAAUGUGGAUGUAUCAAUUAUUGACUGAAGUUGGUCUUAAAGUCUUCGUUGCUAGCUAAGUCAUGGUGUGAUAAUCAAGUUACUCUCCAUAUUACCUCUAACCAUGUGUUUCACGAAUAAACCAAACAUAUCGAAUGAUUGUUGCUUCGUUUGUGACAAGAUUCAGGAAAAGUUUAU